GAUGAACGCUGGCGGCGUGCCUAAUACAUGCAAGUCGAGCGGACGGACCAGAAGCUUGCUUCUCUGAUGUUUGCGGCGGACGGGUGAGUAACACGUGGAUAACCUACCUAUAAGACUGGGAUAACUUCGGGAAACCGGCGCUAAUACCGGAUAAUAUUUUGAACCGCAUUGUUCAAAAGUGAAAGACGGUCUUUCUGUCUCUUAUAGCUGGAUCCGCGCUGCAUUAGCUAGUUGGUAAGGUAACGGCUUACCAAGGCAACGAUGCAUAGCCGACCUGAGAGGGUGAUCGGCCACACUGGAACUGAGACACGGUCCAGACUCCUACGGGAGGCAGCAGUAGGGAAUCUUACGCAAUGGGCGAAAGCCUGACGGAGCAACGCCGCGUGAGUGAUGAAGGUCUUCGGAUCGUAAAACUCUGUUAUUAGGGAAGAACAUAUGUGUAAGUAACUGUGCACAUCUUGACGGUACCUAAUCAGAAAGCCACGGCUAACUACGUG
Molecule: ribosomal RNA, 497 nt
Filed under: uncultured bacterium
Lineage: Bacteria
Description: partial 16S ribosomal RNA
Rfam family: Bacterial small subunit ribosomal RNA
Source: RNAcentral